This 74-nucleotide transfer RNA is filed under the name Fibrobacteres bacterium CG2_30_45_31. RNAcentral describes it as "tRNA-Gln". It matches the Rfam family "tRNA". Rfam says of the family: Transfer RNA (tRNA) molecules are approximately 80 nucleotides in length. Their secondary structure includes four short double-helical elements and three loops (D, anti-codon, and T loops). Further hydrogen bonds mediate the characteristic L-shaped molecular structure. tRNAs have two regions of fundamental functional importance: the anti-codon, which is responsible for specific mRNA codon recognition, and the 3' end, to which the tRNAs corresponding amino acid is attached (by aminoacyl-tRNA synthetases). tRNAs cope with the degeneracy of the genetic code in two manners: having more than one tRNA (with a specific anti-codon) for a particular amino acid; and 'wobble' base-pairing, i.e. permitting non-standard base-pairing at the 3rd anti-codon position. The record is from RNAcentral. Lineage: Bacteria; Pseudomonadati; Fibrobacterota.
UGAGCUAUGGUGUAACGGUAGCACAACAGAUUCUGAAUCUGUUUGUCUUGGUUCGAAUCCAGGUAGCUCAACUA